UAAACAAGUGUUUUAUGGCACUUUUUAAAAAUCCAUAACCUCCUUUGUGCAAUGUCGGUCGUUCCUUGUGGAUGACCUCAACAUCAACUCAAUUUUUUAAAUUAUUCUUCUGAAAAAUAUUAUGAAUCAAAUUCAAAUA
RNAcentral lists this unclassified non-coding RNA (139 nucleotides) under uncultured fungus. RNAcentral's name for it is "sequence contains ITS1, 5.8S rRNA gene". Lineage: Eukaryota; Fungi. The record is from RNAcentral. RNAcentral also lists the same sequence under 1 other name.